Molecule: ribosomal RNA, 433 nt
Filed under: uncultured bacterium
Lineage: Bacteria
Description: partial 16S ribosomal RNA
Rfam family: Bacterial small subunit ribosomal RNA
Source: RNAcentral
AACGAACGCUGGCGGCAUGCCUAACACAUGCAAGUCGAACGAGACCUUCGGGUCUAGUGGCGCACGGGUGCGUAACGCGUGGGAACCUGCCCUUAGGUUCGGAAUAACUCCCCGAAAGGGGUGCUAAUACCGGAUAAUGUCUGCGGACCAAAGAUUUAUCGCCUUUGUGUGGGCCCGCGUUGGAUUAGCUUGUUGGUAGGGUAAAAGCCUACCAAGGCGACGAUCCAUAGCUGGUCUGAGAGGAUGAUCAGCCACACUGGGACUGAGACACGGCCCAGACUCCUACGGGAGGCAGCAGUGGGGAAUAUUGGACAAUGGGCGAAAGCCUGAUCCAGCAAUGCCGCGUGAGUGAUGAAGGCCUUAGGGUUGUAAAGCUCUUUUACCCGGGAUGAUAAUGACAGUACCGGGAGAAUAAGCUCCGGCUAACUCCGUG